CCUACGGGAGGCAGCAGUAGGGAAUAUUGGGCAAUGGGCGAAAGCCUGACCCAGCAACGCCGCGUGCACGAUGAAGGUCUUCGGAUCGUAAAGUGCUUUUCUGAGAGAUGAGAAAGGACAGUAUCUCAGGAAUAAGUCUCGGCUAACUACGUGCCAGCAGCCGCGGUAACACGUAGGAGGCAAGCGUUAUCCGGAUUUACUGGGUGUAAAGCGCGUGCAGGCGGUUCGGUAAGUUGGAUGUGAAAGCUCCUGGCUCAACUGGGAGAGGUCGUUCAAAACUGCCGGACUUGAGGACAGUAGAGGGAGAUGGAAUUCCCGGUGUAGUGGUGAAAUGCGUAGAUAUCGGGAGGAACACCAGUGGCGAAAGCGGUCUCCUGGACUGUCUCUGACGCUCAGACGCGAAAGCUAGGGUAGCAAACGGGAUUAGAGACCCCGGUAGUCCUAGCUGUAAACGAUGUGAACUUGGCGUUGGUGGUGUAAAAACCAUCGGUGCCGAAGCUAACGCGAUAAGUUCACCACCUGGGGACUACGACCGCAAGGUUAAAACUCAAAGGAAUUGACGG
RNAcentral lists this ribosomal RNA (563 nucleotides) under uncultured bacterium. Its description in RNAcentral is "bacterial SSU rRNA". It matches the Rfam family "Bacterial small subunit ribosomal RNA", at positions 338 to 916 of the family's 1533-position model. The record is from RNAcentral.